This 252-nucleotide ribosomal RNA is filed under the name uncultured bacterium. RNAcentral describes it as "partial 16S ribosomal RNA". It matches the Rfam family "Bacterial small subunit ribosomal RNA", at positions 524 to 776 of the family's 1533-position model. The record is from RNAcentral.
UACGGAGGAUGCGAGCGUUAUCCGGAUUUAUUGGGUUUAAAGGGUGCGUAGGCGGACUGUCAAGUCAGCGGUAAAAUACGGGGGCUCAACCUCCGCCCGCCGUUGAAACUGACGGUCUUGAGUGGGCGAGAAGUAUGCGGAAUGCGUGGUGUAGCGGUGAAAUGCAUAGAUAUCACGCAGAACUCCGAUUGCGAAGGCAGCAUACCGGCGCCCAACUGACGCUGAAGCACGAAAGCGUGGAUAUCGAACAGG